This 199-nucleotide ribosomal RNA is filed under the name uncultured bacterium. RNAcentral describes it as "partial 16S ribosomal RNA". It matches the Rfam family "Bacterial small subunit ribosomal RNA", at positions 328 to 539 of the family's 1533-position model. The record is from RNAcentral.
ACGCUCGACACCUACUGGAGGCAGCAGUGGGGAAUAUUGCACAAUGGGGGAAACCCUGAUGCAGCGACGCCGCGUGAGCGAAGAAGUAUUUCGGUAUGUAAAGCUCUAUCAGCAGGGAAGAAACUGACGGUACCUGACUAAGAAGCACCGGCUAAAUACGUGUCAGCAGCCGCGGUAAUCUGAGGCGGGCUGGCAAGGC